Molecule: ribosomal RNA, 253 nt
Filed under: uncultured bacterium
Lineage: Bacteria
Description: partial 16S ribosomal RNA
Rfam family: Bacterial small subunit ribosomal RNA
Source: RNAcentral
UACGAAGGGGGCUAGCGUUGUUCGGAAUUACUGGGCGUAAAGCGCGCGCAGGCGGUCUUCCAAGUCAGUGGUGAAAGCCCGGAGCUCAACUCCGGAACUGCCAUUGAAACUGUUAGACUUGAGGAUGAGAGAGGUGAGUGGAAUUCCCAGUGUAGAGGUGAAAUUCGUAGAUAUUGGGAAGAACACCGGUGGCGAAGGCGGCUCACUGGCUCAUUACCGACGCUCAGGCGCGAUAGCGUGGGGAUCAAACAGG